This 598-nucleotide long non-coding RNA is filed under the name Struthio camelus australis. RNAcentral's name for it is "lncRNA (ENSSCUG00000009109.1)". Lineage: Eukaryota; Metazoa; Chordata; Aves; Struthioniformes; Struthionidae. The record is from RNAcentral.
GCCUGUUAUGGGCUCUGCUGUUAACUUCUUUCAUCACCCUGGCAACUAAUUUAACAUCCCUGGAUAUAUCAUUAUCUGGCAUAAAUUGUCUUAGUGCCAUGUAAGCCAUUAACACUGGCUGUGAGGGUCAGCCUCUCUGUGCCUUGGUUUACUCUUGCGGAGAAACGAGCAGCAUUGGCUGUGCUUGCCAAGUAUAUUGCACUGGGUAAAUAAUGAACAGAUGUCAAAUGUUUUGGGCUUCUCAGAUGGCGGUGGGGGGGGAAGUGGGGAGAAACUGUAGGAGUGGCUAGGAGUGUUGUUAUAUUCAGAAAUCUUCACAGAGCUAGCAGGUGAACUAUUAGGAAAGCGAGCUGUGAUACAGAUUGGUGACUCUUAAUUCCUCAUUAGAAUAUUUGCUUACAGGAUGGGGAUCAGACAGAUCUAAGUUCUUCUGAGCAGCUGUUUUGAAGUCAUGGAUUUUGCCUGUCCCCACCGCUGGCUGCUGUCCUUCAGAGAACAGCUGCUGUCUGCAGGGUGCCCCUUUCGGCUGGGAGCUGUGGAAGAACGUCUUUCUCCUGCACCCAGAAUUAAUUUGCGAGGCUGCAGCUCAUACAAAUAA